GUCUCGUUGGUGUAGUUGGUUAUCACGUCGGUCUCAUAAUAUGAUCGCGCUUGGCGCGAGGAACUUGAUAUCUGGAGGUCGCCAGUUCGAUCCUGGCACGGGACA
Molecule: transfer RNA, 105 nt
Filed under: Malassezia equina
Lineage: Eukaryota; Fungi; Basidiomycota; Malasseziomycetes; Malasseziales; Malasseziaceae
Description: tRNA-Met
Source: RNAcentral